RNAcentral lists this ribosomal RNA (1502 nucleotides) under uncultured prokaryote. RNAcentral describes it as "partial 16S ribosomal RNA". It matches the Rfam family "Bacterial small subunit ribosomal RNA". The record is from RNAcentral.
AGAGUUUGAUCAUGGCUCAGAUUGAACGCUGGCGGCAGGCUUAACACAUGCAAGUCGAGCGGAAACGAUGAUAGCUUGCUAUCAGGCGUCGAGCGGCGGACGGGUGAGUAACGCGUAGGAAUCUACCUAGUAGUGGGGGAUAGCCCAGAGAAAUUUGGAUUAAUACCGCAUACGCCCUACGGGGGAAAGGAGGGGAUCUUCGGACCUUUCGCUAUUAGAUGAGCCUGCGUCGGAUUAGCUAGUUGGUGGGGUAAAGGCUCACCAAGGCGACGAUCCGUAGCUGGUCUGAGAGGAUGAUCAGCCACACUGGGACUGAGACACGGCCCAGACUCCUACGGGAGGCAGCAGUGGGGAAUAUUGGACAAUGGGGGCAACCCUGAUCCAGCCAUGCCGCGUGUGUGAAGAAGGCCUUCGGGUUGUAAAGCACUUUCAGCGAGGAGGAAAGGUUAGUCGUUAAUAACGGCUAACCCUGACGUUACCUACAGAAGAAGCACCGGCAAACUCCGUGCCAGCAGCCGCGGUAAUACGGAGGGUGCGAGCGUUAAUCGGAAUUACUGGGCGUAAAGCGCGCGUAGGCGGCCUGAUAAGUUGGAUGUGAAAGCCCUGGGCUCAACCUAGGAACUGCAUUCAAAACUGUCAGGCUAGAGUAUGGUAGAGGAUAGUGGAAUUUCCAGUGGUAGCGGUGAAAUGCGUAGAGAUCGGAAGGAACAUCAGUGGCGAAGGCGGCUAUCUGGACCAAUACUGACGCUGAGGUGCGAAAGCGUGGGGAGCAAAACAGGAUUAGAUACCCUGGUAGUCCACGCCGUAAACGAUGUCAACUAGCCGUUGGGGGGCUUGUCCCUUUAGUGGCGCAGCUAACGCGAUAAGUUGACCGCCUGGGGAGUACGGCCGCAAGGUUAAAACUCAAAUGAAUUGACGGGGGCCCGCACAAGCGGUGGAGCAUGUGGUUUAAUUCGAUGCAAUGCGAAGAACCUUACCAGGUCUUGACAUCCCGAGAAUUUACUAGAGAUAGUUUAGUGCCUUCGGGAACUCGGUGACAGGUGCUGCAUGGCUGUCGUCAGCUCGUGUCGUGAGAUGUUGGGUUAAGUCCCGUAACGAGCGCAACCCUUGUCCUUAGUUGCCAUCAUUCAGUUGGGGACUCUAAGGAGACUGCCGGUGACAAACCGGAGGAAGGUGGGGACGACGUCAAGUCAUCAUGGCCCUUACGACCUGGGCUACACACGUGCUACAAUGGUCAGUACAAAGGGUCGCGAAGCCGCGAGGUGGAGCUAAUCUCAUAAAACUGUUCGUAGUCCGGAUUGAAGUCUGCAACUCGACUUCAUGAAGUCGGAAUCGCUAGUAAUCGCAAAUCAGAAUGUUGCGGUGAAUACGUUCCCGGGCCUUGUACACACCGCCCGUCACACCAUGGGAGUAGGUUGCAAAAGAAGUGGGUAGACUAACCUUCGGGAGGUCGCUCACCACUUUGUGAUUCAUGACUGGGGUGAAGUCGUAACAAGGUAGCC